GCCAGAGUUGAGAGGAUUUGAUAGAAUGUAAGAAGAAAAAGAAGAUUAAGAUUUGAACAGAACUGUAUGUUUUUUAUAACUAUGGGCAAUGCUUGUUUGUGCAUUUAUUAAUGAAUAUGUAGUUUACUGUUUUGAUAAAUAGAGCCAGAGUUAGGAGGAUGUGAUCUGAUAGAAGAAGAUUUAUUGCAUAAUGAGUUUAGCUCUGUAUGCUUGUGGGGGG
This 220-nucleotide unclassified non-coding RNA is filed under the name Hevea brasiliensis (rubber tree). Lineage: Eukaryota; Viridiplantae; Streptophyta; Magnoliopsida; Malpighiales; Euphorbiaceae. The record is from RNAcentral.